RNAcentral lists this ribosomal RNA (468 nucleotides) under uncultured bacterium. RNAcentral describes it as "partial 16S ribosomal RNA". The stretch from base 58 to 468 matches the Rfam family "Bacterial small subunit ribosomal RNA", at positions 39 to 507 of the family's 1533-position model. The record is from RNAcentral.
GGGGGGGGGGGGGGGGGGGCGGGGGGCGGGCGGGGCGGGCGGGGGGGCCGGGCGGGGGUGGGGUGCGCGGGGGGCGGAGGGGGGGGUGACACGGGAGCAACCUGCCCUCGACUUUGGGAUGACGUCAGGAAACUGGGGCUAAUACCGGAUAGGAGCCCCCGCUGCAUGGUGGGGGUUGGACAGUUUCGGCGGUCGGGGAUGGACUCGCGGCUUAUCAGCUUGUUGGUGGGGGAGUGGCCGACCCAGGCCUGGACGGGUAGCCGGCCUGCGAGGGGGGCCGGCCACAUUGGGACUGAGAUACGGCCCAGACUCGUACGGGAGGCAGCGGGGGGGAGUAUUGCACAAUGGGCGGAAGCCUGAUGCGGCGGCGCCGCGGGCGGGAUGACGGCCUGCGGGUUGUAAACCGCUUUCGCCUGUGACGAAGCGUGAGUGACGGUAAUGGGUAAAGAAGCACCGGCUAACUACGUG